GGGAGUGAAAUAGAACCUGAAACCCUGCACUUACAAGCUGUGGAAGCACGUUUCUUGUGUGACCGCGUACUUUUUGUAGAACGGGCCAACGAGUUACGUUAAGUAGCAAGGUUAAGCACUUAAGGUGUGGAGCCGUAGCGAAAGCGAGUUUUAACUGAGCGUUAAGUUACUGGACGUAGACCCGAAACCGGGCGACCUACCCAUGAGCAGGAUGAAGCGAAAGUAAAAUUUCGUGGGGGUCCGAACCCACGAGCGUUGAAAAGCUCGGGGGUGACUGGAGGGGAGAGGUGAAAUUGCAAUCGAGCCCGGAGAUAGCUGGUUCUCCCCGAAAUAGCUUUAGGGCUAGCCUCAAGGUCAGAUAUACGGAGGUAGAGCACUGAAUGUCCUAGGGGGUAUUGCACCUA
Molecule: ribosomal RNA, 404 nt
Filed under: Clostridioides difficile
Lineage: Bacteria; Bacillati; Bacillota; Clostridia; Peptostreptococcales; Peptostreptococcaceae
Description: bacterial LSU rRNA
Rfam family: Bacterial large subunit ribosomal RNA
Source: RNAcentral